GACGAACGCUGGCGGCGUGCUUAACACAUGCAAGUCGAACGAUGAAGGCCGGUCUUGCUCGGUCUUAUUAGCGGCGAACAGGUGAGUAACACGUGAGCAACCUGCCCUUCACUCUGGGAUACCCCCGGUAAAUCCGGGCUAUUACCCGGUAUGAGCUCCUGACGCAUGGCGGUUGUUUUUAAGUUUUUCGGUGAAGGAUGGGCUCGCGGCUUAUCAGUUUGUUGGUGAGGUAGUGGCUCACCAAGGCGAUGACGGGUAGCCGGCCUGAGAGGGCGACCGGCCACACUGGGACUGAGACACGGCCCAGACUCCUACGGGAGGCAGCAGUGGGGAAUAGUGCACAAUGGGCGAAAGCCUGAUGCAGCGACGCCGCGUGAGGGAUGACGGCCUUCGGGUUGUAAACCUCUUUCAGCAGGGAAGAAGCGAAAGUGACGGUACCUGCAGAAGAAGCGCCGGCUAACUACGUG
RNAcentral lists this ribosomal RNA (467 nucleotides) under uncultured bacterium. RNAcentral's name for it is "partial 16S ribosomal RNA". It matches the Rfam family "Bacterial small subunit ribosomal RNA", at positions 28 to 507 of the family's 1533-position model. The record is from RNAcentral.